Molecule: ribosomal RNA, 492 nt
Filed under: uncultured bacterium
Lineage: Bacteria
Description: partial 16S ribosomal RNA
Rfam family: Bacterial small subunit ribosomal RNA
Source: RNAcentral
AGUGAACGCUGGCGGUAGGCCUAACACAUGCAAGUCGAACGGCAGCACAGUAAGAGCUUGCUCUUACGGGUGGCGAGUGGCGGACGGGUGAGGAAUACAUCGGAAUCUACUUUUUCGUGGGGGAUAACGUAGGGAAACUUACGCUAAUACCGCAUACGACCUACGGGUGAAAGCAGGGGAUCUUCGGACCUUGCGCGAUUGAAUGAGCCGAUGUCGGAUUAGCUAGUUGGCGGGGUAAAGGCCCACCAAGGCGACGAUCCGUAGCUGGUCUGAGAGGAUGAUCAGCCACACUGGAACUGAGACACGGUACAGACUCCUACGGGAGGCAGCAGUGGGGAAUAUUGGACAAUGGGCGCAAGCCUGAUCCAGCCAUACCGCGUGGGUGAAGAAGGCGUUCGGGUUGUAAAGCCCUUUUGUUGGGAAAGAAAAGCAGCAGGUUAAUACCCCGCUGUUCUGACGGUACCCAAAGAAUAAGCACCGGCUAACUUCGUG